RNAcentral lists this transfer RNA (87 nucleotides) under Pseudoxanthomonas sp. SGNA-20. RNAcentral's name for it is "tRNA-Leu". It matches the Rfam family "tRNA". Rfam says of the family: Transfer RNA (tRNA) molecules are approximately 80 nucleotides in length. Their secondary structure includes four short double-helical elements and three loops (D, anti-codon, and T loops). Further hydrogen bonds mediate the characteristic L-shaped molecular structure. tRNAs have two regions of fundamental functional importance: the anti-codon, which is responsible for specific mRNA codon recognition, and the 3' end, to which the tRNAs corresponding amino acid is attached (by aminoacyl-tRNA synthetases). tRNAs cope with the degeneracy of the genetic code in two manners: having more than one tRNA (with a specific anti-codon) for a particular amino acid; and 'wobble' base-pairing, i.e. permitting non-standard base-pairing at the 3rd anti-codon position. The record is from RNAcentral. Lineage: Bacteria; Pseudomonadati; Pseudomonadota; Gammaproteobacteria; Lysobacterales; Lysobacteraceae.
GCCCGGGUGGUGAAACAGGUAGACACAGGAGACUUAAAAUCUUCCGGCCGCGAGGCUUUGCGGGUUCGAGUCCCGCCCCGGGCACCA